Physeter macrocephalus (sperm whale) is the source of this 865-nucleotide long non-coding RNA. RefSeq lists it as uncharacterized. Lineage: Eukaryota; Metazoa; Chordata; Mammalia; Artiodactyla; Physeteridae. The transcript is spliced from 3 exons. The record is from RefSeq and is a predicted model, not a curated record.
GGAAGGCCUGCUCCCGCGUGAGGCCGCGGUGACGCAUGAGGUAGGCGGUGCAGACGGCGGCCGAGCGGCUGCGGCCGUUCUUGCAGUAGACGAGGCAGGCUCCACCGGCGCGCACCGCGGCCUCCAUGGCGGCACAGGUCCAGACAUCACCUACGUAGAGGCCUUCUCAGCAUCCAUUUCCCUCUUCAGUGGCCUAAGGAAGGAGUCUGACUUUCCUGGGAUGGGAUUACCAUUUUCCCCAGAGUUCACGGGAGCCAUCCAAGUAGGUGGAGAUUUCCUGUCCCCCAGCUCCAGAAUCGGGCUUCUGCUUACAUCCAGUCAGUGACGCCUCUACCCCCAUGAUUGCUUCAGGAAAGGGCUUGGGCUGCCAUAUGAACCAAAGAGGAGAGAGGGGCUUGGAAACCUCUGUCCUCUCCUUAUGACCACAAAGGGAAGCCAGCCUUGGUUGAAAGCACAGCUGAAGAAACGGUCCUCGAAGAUAUUGUUGGGCCACUGAAUCAAACCAAACCUGAAGAGCCUCCAACUUCUGGACUGUUUGGUUUCCUGAGCCAUCCAAUCACCCUUUACUGUUGGAUAUUUGAGGUGGAUUUUCUGUUCCAAGGCCUCUUAACUGAUAACCUCACGCUGUUUCACCACAUUGAGUUAAUGAAUCGUCGACACCACCUGCCCACCACACCAUGGCCCAGUGGUUUUCAAAGCGUGGUCCAGAUUUCAGCAGCAUCUGGGAACUUGGUAGCAAUGCACAUUCUCAGGAGUCCACUACUCAGGACCUGCUGAACCGGAAACUCUGGGAGUGAGACACAGGAAGCUGUGUGUUACCAUGCCCCCCAUGUGAUUCUGAUAAAAGAUAAAAACCUAACCAUCA